AAUUAAAAUAAUUAUGGUUCAUAGCAAAAAUAAGAAUAACUAGAUUUUAACCCGCGGUAUACCGCGAAAACAAUUUAUUUUUUAAAUUAAUAUAUAUAAAAGUUUGUAAAUUGUAUCUAUCUAUAAAAUAUUUUUAUUGUAUAGUUUACAAUUGUUAUUAAGUAACGUCCUGCCAAACCCGUCCCGCCAACCCGUCCUCUAAAAAAACUCAUUUAUUUUAUGAAUGUGAUCUUAUUUAUGAUAUGUUUAUGAAUUAUUGUCUAAAUAUUUUGUAAUUUUGUAGUAAUUAAAUGUUAUCAAAUAUCUCUACGGUUUGAUGAUUAUAAUCAUGCAGAAAAGCAAUAUCAAAAAUGAUAAUUUUGUAGUAAUUAAAUGAUAUUAAAUAUUUUAGAAGUUUUAUUUUAGUAAUUAAUCGUGUAGUUAAGGUAGAGAGAUUUUGGAAAGAUUGUUAAAUGUCAAAUAUUUAAUUAGAAGAUUUUCUUUCUAAUUAUCAAAAACAAUUAUUAAAUGCCAAUGACAGCCGCUGUAAAUAAAUCCCAACUCCAGAAUUUAUUUCACAAAGUGGCUGCAAAAAUAUAUAUAUAGAUGAUAAUAAUCAAAAUCAGAAAUCAAAUCAAAAUCCAACUUGCCAUCUAAAUAAAUGGAAUCUUUCUAACUUGAUAAAAA
Molecule: small RNA, 666 nt
Filed under: Arabidopsis thaliana (thale cress)
Lineage: Eukaryota; Viridiplantae; Streptophyta; Magnoliopsida; Brassicales; Brassicaceae
Description: ATSL308150
Source: RNAcentral